AGUGAACGCUGGCGGUAUGCCUAACACAUGCAAGUCGAACGGCAGCACCGUAAGAGCUUGCUCUUACGGGUGGCGCGUGGCGGACGGGUGAGGAAUACAUCGUACUCUACUUUUUCGUGGGGGAUAACGUAGGGAAACUUACUCUAAUACCGCAUACGACCUACGGGGGAAAGCAGGGGAUCUUCUGGCCUUGUGCGAUUGAAUGAGCCGCUGUCGGAUUAGCUAGUUGGCGGGUUAAAGGCCCACCAAGGCGACGAUCCGUAGCUGGUGUGAGAGGAUGGUCAGCGACACUGGAGCUGAGCCACGGACCAGACGCCUACGGGAGGCAGCAGUGGGGAAUAUUGGACAAUGGGCGCGAGCCUGAUCCAGCCAUACCGCGUGGGUGAAGAAGGCCUUCGGGUUGUAAAGCCCUUUUGUUGGGAAAGAAAAGCAGCAGGUUAAUACCCCGCUGUACUGACGGUACCCAAAGAAUAAGCACCGGCUAACUUCGUG
This 492-nucleotide ribosomal RNA is filed under the name uncultured bacterium. RNAcentral's name for it is "partial 16S ribosomal RNA". It matches the Rfam family "Bacterial small subunit ribosomal RNA", at positions 29 to 507 of the family's 1533-position model. The record is from RNAcentral.